AUUUUAGUUCAAACAUUACAGGGUUAAAUAUAUAAUGUCAAACGAUUCGGUGACGUCAAUUCCAUCCAGCUGACAGACGAGGGCGGGAGCUCAUCACUUCUCUCGGUCAAAUUGGCGCAUCUCGGACGAACCGGCUGUCGCGAUAUACAAAUAAGGCGAUAAAUCUAGUGUUCACCAUGAGAAUCCCCACGUCCCUAUUCGCAAUAUCUUUGACACUUAUCAUAAGCUAUAUUUGUAUCACUUUAUUCACGCUUGUUAAGAUCAUGGAGUGGGAUCGUUGUUUCACCACUCCGGGACGUGAUUCACAGCUCGCUGGCACCGACGCGGAUCAGCUGCCUGCAGUUUUUGGAGAUACACACGGAAGCCCCCGGUCCUCAGCUAGUGACGGAGAACAUAAACAGAUCGAGAUAUGGAGCAAGGCAGCUGUGGGGUGGUACCUCUGGAACAGUGUCUUCAAUGCAAGACUGCAGGAGAAGCCGGGCGAGCCGUGGAGCGUGGGCACGCGCCGUUUCUCGCGCUACACCUUCACGUUCCGCGCUGGCCCAGGCGUGGUGCCCAACACCGUGCCGGCGG
Molecule: long non-coding RNA, 573 nt
Organism: Pollicipes pollicipes
Lineage: Eukaryota; Metazoa; Arthropoda; Thecostraca; Pollicipedomorpha; Pollicipedidae
Exons: 3
Source: RefSeq, a predicted model, not a curated record